AACCCUGAUGCAGCGACGCCGCGUGAGUGAAGAAGUAUUUCGGUAUGUAAAGCUCUAUCAGCAGGGAAGAAAAUGACGGUACCUGACUAAGAAGCCCCGGCUAACUACGUGCCAGCAGCCGCGGUAAUACGUAGGGGGCAAGCGUUAUCCGGAUUUACUGGGUGUAAAGGGAGCGCAGACGGCUGUGCAAGUCUGGAGUGAAAGGCGGGGGCCCAACCCCCGGACUGCUCUGGAAACUGUAAAGCUGGAGUGCAGGAGAGGUAAGCGGAAUUCCUAGUGUAGCGGUGAAAUGCGUAGAUAUUAGGAGGAACACCAGUGGCGAAGGCGGCUUACUGGACUGCAACUGACGUUGAGGCUCGAAAGCGUGG
This 368-nucleotide ribosomal RNA is filed under the name uncultured bacterium. RNAcentral describes it as "bacterial SSU rRNA". It matches the Rfam family "Bacterial small subunit ribosomal RNA", at positions 379 to 764 of the family's 1533-position model. The record is from RNAcentral.